This 78-nucleotide transfer RNA is filed under the name Ectothiorhodospiraceae bacterium. RNAcentral's name for it is "tRNA-His". It matches the Rfam family "tRNA". From Rfam's summary of the family: Transfer RNA (tRNA) molecules are approximately 80 nucleotides in length. Their secondary structure includes four short double-helical elements and three loops (D, anti-codon, and T loops). Lineage: Bacteria; Pseudomonadati; Pseudomonadota; Gammaproteobacteria; Chromatiales; Ectothiorhodospiraceae. The record is from RNAcentral. RNAcentral also lists the same sequence under 2 other names.
GUGGGUGUAGCUCAGACCGGUUAGAGCACUGGGUUGUGGCCCCAGAGGUCGCGGGUUCAAAUCCCGUCACUCACCCCA